GGCCCGUUUAGCUCAGUCGGGAGAGCACUCGCCCUGUUAGCGAGGUGUCCUGGGUUAGAGUCCCGGACUGGCCG
RNAcentral lists this transfer RNA (74 nucleotides) under Dreissena polymorpha. Its description in RNAcentral is "tRNA-Thr". It matches the Rfam family "tRNA". Rfam says of the family: Transfer RNA (tRNA) molecules are approximately 80 nucleotides in length. Lineage: Eukaryota; Metazoa; Mollusca; Bivalvia; Myida; Dreissenidae. The record is from RNAcentral.